UCGGAUAUGGUGUAACGGCUAACAUUGCCGCCUCUCAUUUAUAGUCAAAACAUUCAUUGAAGGCUUCGCGGCAGCUCGGGGUUCGAUUCCCCGUAUCCGAA
Non-coding RNA from Stereum hirsutum FP-91666 SS1, 101 nucleotides. Lineage: Eukaryota; Fungi; Basidiomycota; Agaricomycetes; Russulales; Stereaceae. The record is from the annotation of a RefSeq genome assembly.